AGCGGCAACAGCUCAAAUUUGAAAUCUGGCCCUUUCAGGGUCCGAGUUGUAAUUUGUAGAGGGUGCUUUGGUGUUGGCCGUGGUCUAAGUUCCUUGGAACAGGACGUCACAGAGGGUGAGAAUCCCGUACGUGGCCGCCGGUCUUCACCGUGUAAAGCCCCUUCGACGAGUCGAGUUGUUUGGGAAUGCAGCUCUAAAUGGGAGAUAAAUUUCUUCUAAAGCUAAAUAUUGGCCAGAGACCGAUAGCGCACAAGUAGAGUGAUCGAAAGAUGAAAAGCACUUUGGAAAGAGAGUCAAAAAGCACGUGAAAUUGUUGAAAGGGAAGCGCUUGCAGCCAGACGUGCCCGCAGUUGCUCACCUGGGCUUUUGCCCGGGGCAUUCUUCUGCGGGCAGGCCAGCAUCAGUUCGGGCGGUUGGAUAAAGGCCUCUAUCACGUACCAUCCUUCGGGAUGUCCUUAUAGGGGAGGCGCAACACGACCAGCCUGAACUGAGGACCGCGCAUUUGCUAGGAUGCUGGCGUAAUGGCUGUAAGCGGCCCGUCUUGAAACACGGACCAAGGAGUCUAACAUCUAUGCGAGUGUUUGGGUGUAAAGCCCGGACGCGCAAUGAAAGUGAACGGAGGUGGGAACCCCUCGGGGUGCACCAUCGACCGAUCCUGAAGUCUUCGGAUGGAUUUGAGUAAGAGCAUAGCUGUUGGGACCCGAAAGAUGGUGAACUAUGCCUGAAUAGGGUGAAGCCAGGGGAAACCCUGGUGGAGGCUCGCAGCGGUUCUGACGUGCAAAUCGAUCGUCAAAUUUGGGCAUAG
This 805-nucleotide ribosomal RNA is filed under the name Pseudoneoconiothyrium rosae. Its description in RNAcentral is "partial large subunit ribosomal RNA". It matches the Rfam family "Eukaryotic large subunit ribosomal RNA", at positions 97 to 920 of the family's 3401-position model. Lineage: Eukaryota; Fungi; Ascomycota; Dothideomycetes; Pleosporales; Thyridariaceae. The record is from RNAcentral.